Molecule: ribosomal RNA, 266 nt
Filed under: uncultured bacterium
Lineage: Bacteria
Description: partial 16S ribosomal RNA
Rfam family: Bacterial small subunit ribosomal RNA
Source: RNAcentral
GCCUACGGGAGGCAGCAGUGAGGAAUAUUGGUCAAUGGGCGCAAGCCUGAACCAGCCAAGUCGCGUGAGGGAUGACGGUCCUAUGGAUUGUAAACCUCUUUUGUCGGGGAGCAAGGCCCGCCACGUGUGGCGGGAAGGAGAGUACCCGGAGAAAAAGCAUCGGCUAACUCCGGGCCAGCAGCCGCGGUAAUACGGAGGAUGCGAGCGUUAUCCGGAUUUAUUGGGUUUAAAGGGUGCGCAGGCGGAUUUUUAAGUCAGCGGUCAAA